GACGAACGCUGGCGGCGUGCCUAAUACAUGCAAGUUGAGCGCUGAAGGUUGGUACUUGUACCAACUGGAUGAGCAGCGCACGGGUGAGUAACGCGUGGGGAAUCUGCCUUUGAGCGGGGGACAACAUUUGGAAACGAAUGCUAAUACCGCAUAAAAACUUUAAACACAAGUUUUAAGUUUGAAAGAUGCAAUUGCAUCACUCAAAGAUGAUCCCGCGUUGUAUUAGCUAGUUGGUGUGGUAAAGGCUCACCAAGGCGAUGAUACAUAGCCGACCUGAGAGGGUGGUCGGCCACAUUGGGACUGAGACACGGCCCAAACCCCUACGGGAGGGAGCAGGAGGGAAUCUUGGGCAAAGGACGAAAGUCUGACCGAGCAACGCCGGGUGAGUGAAGAAGGUUGUCGGAUCGUAAAAGUCUGUUGGUAGAGAAGAACGUUGGUGAGAGUGGAAAGCUCAUCGAGUGACGGUAACUGCACAGAAAGGGACGGCUAACUACGUG
RNAcentral lists this ribosomal RNA (497 nucleotides) under uncultured bacterium. RNAcentral's name for it is "partial 16S ribosomal RNA". It matches the Rfam family "Bacterial small subunit ribosomal RNA", at positions 28 to 507 of the family's 1533-position model. The record is from RNAcentral.